AGAGUUUGAUCAUGGCUCAGAGCGAACGCUGGCGGCGUGCCUAACACAUGCAAGUCGAACGUGAAAGAGGGCAACCUUGAGUAAAGUGGCGUACGGGUGAGUAACACGUAGGUAAUCUACCCCAGAAUCUGGAAUAACUUGCCGAAAGGCGGGCUAAUACUGGAUAGAGCGAUGGAAUCCGUAAUUGGGUUUUUCGGGAA
This 200-nucleotide ribosomal RNA is filed under the name uncultured bacterium. RNAcentral's name for it is "partial 16S ribosomal RNA". It matches the Rfam family "Bacterial small subunit ribosomal RNA", at positions 8 to 226 of the family's 1533-position model. The record is from RNAcentral.